UUUCGAAUCAUUCACAAUGGGCGAAAGCCUGAUGGUGCGACGCCGCGUGAGGGAUGAAGGUCUUCGGAUUGUAAACCUCUGUCACUAGGGAAGAAACGCUGAAUCCUAAUACGAUUCGGUCUGACUUAACCUGGAGAGGAAGCAGUGGCUAACUCUGUGCCAGCAGCCGCGGUAAUACAGAGACUGCAAGCGUUAUUCGGAUUCACUGGGCGUAAAGGGUGCGCAGGCGGCCGUGUGUGUCAGAUGUGAAAUCCCGGGGCUUAACCCCGGAACUGCGUCUGAAACUACACGGCUAGAGCAUUGGAGAGGGAAGUGGAAUUCAUGGUGUAGCAGUGAAAUGCGUAGAUAUCAUGAGGAACACCAGAGGCGAAGGCGACUUCCUGGACAAUUGCUGACGCUCAGGCACGAAAGCGUGGGUAGCAAAAGGG
This 428-nucleotide ribosomal RNA is filed under the name uncultured bacterium. RNAcentral's name for it is "bacterial SSU rRNA". It matches the Rfam family "Bacterial small subunit ribosomal RNA", at positions 355 to 776 of the family's 1533-position model. The record is from RNAcentral.